CUCGAGUUUGACCCGUAUUUUAAAUAGGCUUGAUUUUUUUAUCCAAGUCUAUAUUUUUGGCCUAAUAUUUUUACCUAAACCCUCCCAAAAUUUAAACAAGCCUUCGAGUAUAGAGAAAUAGCCUAACCCUUAAACAGGACUAGAUCAAAUGAAACAAAAAAAAAGAACUUAAAAUAAUUAUUUAUAUUAAAAUAUACUUGUAAGGCCCAAUAUUUGCCCGCCCCACAUACAUUGCAAAAAAACCAAAAAAUAAUAAACAAAAUUCAGUCUAUCAUAACAGUCCAUAUUACAAAGUUUGGCCCAAAUAUCACCUAACCAUCAGCCCAAAUUACCAGCCC
RNAcentral lists this long non-coding RNA (338 nucleotides) under Gossypium raimondii (Peruvian cotton). RNAcentral describes it as "long non-coding RNA (GRAI_LNC000295)". Lineage: Eukaryota; Viridiplantae; Streptophyta; Magnoliopsida; Malvales; Malvaceae. The record is from RNAcentral.